UCCACUGUUGCGUUUUUCAUACGUACGUAUACGCACGUAAAACUUUAAAUCCGUUUAAAUGUUACUUUCGGAAAUAACCAAAUAAAUAGAGCAACAGAAUUUAGUGUUCCACAAGUUUUAGUAUGCAUUUGUUAACUUAUUUAUAAAAUAUUUAAAAAAUUGAAGGAUUCAAAGUCUUACGUGCGUGUACGUGCGUACGAAAAACGCAACAGUGGA
RNAcentral lists this microRNA precursor (216 nucleotides) under Paramuricea clavata. The record is from RNAcentral. Lineage: Eukaryota; Metazoa; Cnidaria; Anthozoa; Malacalcyonacea; Plexauridae.